GAGGGCAUAGCUCAAGUGGUAGAGUGAGUAUUUAGCAUGCACGAGGUCCUGGGUUCAAUCCCCAGUACCUCCU
RNAcentral lists this transfer RNA (73 nucleotides) under Camelus bactrianus (Bactrian camel). It matches the Rfam family "tRNA". From Rfam's summary of the family: Transfer RNA (tRNA) molecules are approximately 80 nucleotides in length. Their secondary structure includes four short double-helical elements and three loops (D, anti-codon, and T loops). Further hydrogen bonds mediate the characteristic L-shaped molecular structure. tRNAs have two regions of fundamental functional importance: the anti-codon, which is responsible for specific mRNA codon recognition, and the 3' end, to which the tRNAs corresponding amino acid is attached (by aminoacyl-tRNA synthetases). tRNAs cope with the degeneracy of the genetic code in two manners: having more than one tRNA (with a specific anti-codon) for a particular amino acid; and 'wobble' base-pairing, i.e. permitting non-standard base-pairing at the 3rd anti-codon position. Lineage: Eukaryota; Metazoa; Chordata; Mammalia; Artiodactyla; Camelidae. RNAcentral also lists the same sequence under 2 other names. The record is from Rfam by way of RNAcentral.